Molecule: transfer RNA, 73 nt
Filed under: Myotis lucifugus (little brown bat)
Lineage: Eukaryota; Metazoa; Chordata; Mammalia; Chiroptera; Vespertilionidae
Rfam family: tRNA
About the family: Transfer RNA (tRNA) molecules are approximately 80 nucleotides in length. Their secondary structure includes four short double-helical elements and three loops (D, anti-codon, and T loops).
Source: Rfam by way of RNAcentral
GCCCGUUUGGCUCAAUGGAUAGAGCAUCGGCCUGUGGACUGAAGGGUCCUGGGUUCGAUUCCCGGUCAGGGCA